Maylandia zebra (zebra mbuna) is the source of this 287-nucleotide long non-coding RNA. RefSeq lists it as uncharacterized. NCBI's taxonomy places the organism in Eukaryota, Metazoa, Chordata, Actinopteri, Cichliformes, Cichlidae. The record is from RefSeq and is a predicted model, not a curated record.
CUGCAGCUGAUGGCUUCAUGAGGGGCGCUUUAUUUAAGAAGGUGGCGGAGCCCCAGUCGGCGCGGGAUUAUACUAAGUCGAACCUGAGUCGGGAGUCAGGAACGUCGUCACGAGGGGAAAUCACAGAGUGGAAUCGGGUUUUUGGAGUUGUCACCUUUUCACUGCUAUGGACACGUGCACUGUGUGGGAUUCUUGGAGGAAUCGCCACAGGAGUCACAGUGCUUGAAUUGUAUAUAGUUGUCGUUUCUGUCCACUCGCCAUAAAUAAAUCCACUGUCCUUCACUUGA